Molecule: unclassified non-coding RNA, 1868 nt
Filed under: Hevea brasiliensis (rubber tree)
Lineage: Eukaryota; Viridiplantae; Streptophyta; Magnoliopsida; Malpighiales; Euphorbiaceae
Source: RNAcentral
AGGAGGACAGCCCCUAGAAUUCACCUUGGACGUAACAAAAAGCACAAGUCCACAUGGCGAAGAAGGGAAGAGAAAUUAAUAAAACCAUUGGCGCCUAACUAUUUCUCUUUCCUUUAAGAAAAUCCAUCAAAGCACAAAUCUUUUUCUUUUUCAUCAAACACUCGAAUUCUUUGUCCCUCUUUCUAUGUAUAAAAAUGGGUUCUUUCUAGUUUUCUUUAAUCUAGACAAAAAUGGGAACGUUAGAACACAAUGCCAAGUAUCUUUCCACAAAACUAGUGUUUCUGGUAUCUUGUGCAGGCCUUCUUGGGGCUGUUUUCAUUGCAGAUUUCGUUUGGACCUCAUCUUCGUCUAUUUCUUCUGCUUAUCAAUCCUAUGCAUCCAAUUGGGCUCUUCAGAAGUCUGGGAAAAUUUUGUUUCUCAACGCCACUAACAAAAAAGAUGAUGAGAAAGAAGCCCUUAAAGGUAAAAAGGACCAUCUUGCUGAUAGAUUCUUGCCAGCAACUUUUGCUGAUUUACCAGCACCAAAGUUAGAAUGGGAGCAGAUGCCAUCAGCACCAGUACCUCGUCUCGAUGGCUAUGCAAUGCAGAUCAAGAACCUUUUAUAUGUAUUUGCGGGAUAUGGUUCCCUUGAUCAUGUGCACUCACAUGUUGAUGUAUACAAUUUUACUGAUAAUACAUGGGGAGAGAGUUUUGAUAUCCCAAAAGACAUGGCACAUUCACAUCUAGGGAUUGCAACUGAUGGAAGAUACAUAUACAUUGUCUCAGGACAAUAUGGUCCCCAGUGCAGAACAGCCAUAACCCGUACUUUUUCCCUGGACACUGAGACAAAGAAAUGGCGGAGCAUGCCUCCAUUACCAGCACCAAGGUAUGCUCCUGCAACUCAGUUAUGGAGAGGCAGACUCCAUGUUAUAGGUGGCAGCAAGGAAAAUCGCCACACGCCUGGAGUGGAUCACUGGAGUAUUGCAGUGAAGGAUGGGGAGGCGAUAGAGAAGGAAUGGCGAACUGAAGUGCCCAUUCCCCAUGGGGGGCCUCAUAGGGCUUGUGUUGUGGCCAAUGAUAGGCUUUUUGUAAUUGGUGGUCAGGAGGGUGAUUUUAUGCCAAAGCCUGGUUCACCUAUUUUCAAGUGUUCUCGUAGGAAUGAGGUAUAUCAGCUAAUUGUUUUGUUUCUAUUGGAUCACAUAAUUGGAUUGGCCUUCAGCAGCAUUCAGUCAGCGGCAUGCCCACAAAUAGCCUAUAAAAUUUUCACCUUUUCAGGUUGUUUAUGGUGAUGUUUAUAUGCUAGACAGUGAAAUGAAGUGGAAAGCUUUACCUGCAAUGCCAAAACCCAACUCCCAUAUUGAGUGUUCUUGGGUACUGGUGAACAAUUCGAUCAUCAUCACUGGAGGUACAACAGAAAAGCACCCAGUGACCAAAAGGAUGAUCCUGGUUGGGGAGGUGUUCCAAUUUCGUGUGGAUUCUCUGACAUGGUCAGUGAUUGGAAAACUUCCUUUCCGCAUAAAAACUACGCUUGCUGGCUUUUGGGAUGGAUGGCUGUAUUUUACCUCCGGACAGCGGGACAGAGGACCUGAUAAUCCACAGCCACAGAAAGUUAUUGGAGAAAUGUGGAGAACCAAAUUGCAUUUGUGAACUUUUAACCUGUAUAAUGGCAUUAUAAGUUUUCACCUAUUCCAUUUUAAGAAUUUAAUUCUUCUAAUUUAGUCUGCUAGUAAAGACAUGUCCAUCUGCAUGCUUGAUUCAAGUUUGAUUCUCCAAGUCUUGUUAAGUGUGAUGUUCAAAUAUGGACUCACUAUGGCAUAGGCUUUGUGGUAUGGAUGACUUGUGCCUUGAGUUCAUUACAAAAUAAGGGUAUAAGCAGAAAGGAGGGUUUU